This 372-nucleotide ribosomal RNA is filed under the name uncultured organism. RNAcentral's name for it is "bacterial SSU rRNA". It matches the Rfam family "Bacterial small subunit ribosomal RNA", at positions 526 to 896 of the family's 1533-position model. The record is from RNAcentral.
CGGAGGGUGCGAGCGUUGUCCGGAAUCACUGGGCGUAAAGGGCGCGUAGGUGGCCCGGUAAGUAGGGGGUGAAAUCUUGCGGCUCAACCGCAAGGCUGCCUUCUAAACUGCCAGGCUUGAGCACAGUAGAGGCAGGUGGAAUUCCCGGUGUAGCGGUGGAAUGCGUAGAGAUCGGGAAGAACAUCGGUGGCGAAGGCGGCCUGCUGGGCUGUUGCUGACACUGAGGCGCGACAGCGUGGGGAGCAAACAGGAUUAGAUACCCUGGUAGUCCACGCCGUAAACGAUGGGCACUAGGCGUCGGGGGGAGCGACCCUCCCGGUGCCGUCGCUAACGCAGUAAGUGCCCCGCCUGGGGAGUACGGCCGCAAGGCUG